ACUGGCUAAGAAAUGUCUGUCUUUCCUAAAAGUGGAACAAUGCAGAGAAGAUUAGCAUGACCCCCUGUUCUAACGAUGGCACGCAAAAUCCUGCAAUGUAAUAAAAUUUA
This 110-nucleotide small nuclear RNA is filed under the name Glossina morsitans morsitans. Lineage: Eukaryota; Metazoa; Arthropoda; Insecta; Diptera; Glossinidae. The record is from RNAcentral.